RNAcentral lists this ribosomal RNA (253 nucleotides) under uncultured bacterium. RNAcentral describes it as "partial 16S ribosomal RNA". It matches the Rfam family "Bacterial small subunit ribosomal RNA", at positions 524 to 776 of the family's 1533-position model. The record is from RNAcentral.
UACGGGGGGAGCAAGCGUUGUUCGGAUUUACUGGGCGUAAAGGGCGCGUAGGCGGCGUGUUAAGUCACUUGUGAAAUCUCUGAGCUUAACUCAGAACGGUCAAGUGAUACUGAUGUGCUAGAGUGCAGAAGGGGCAACCGGAAUUCUUGGUGUAGCGGUGAAAUGCGUAGAUAUCAAGAGGAACACCUGAGGUGAAGACGGGUUGCUGGGCUGACACUGACGCUGAGGCGCGAAAGCUAGGGUAGCAAACGGG